Molecule: long non-coding RNA, 1322 nt
Organism: Apodemus sylvaticus (European woodmouse)
Lineage: Eukaryota; Metazoa; Chordata; Mammalia; Rodentia; Muridae
Exons: 3
Source: RefSeq, a predicted model, not a curated record
UUGAUAUCACGAGCUUAGACUGGACGGAACAAAGAGAGGAAAGCUGGUCACUUCCGACGGCUCAAUGGCCCGGGAGCUGUGGAUUUGCCUCACUUUCUCUGUUCCAAGCUCUUGACUUCACAGACUGAGUGCUUCCAAGAAAAGCCAUUUCCUUCGAAGACAGAGUCCGGCUUGGGAAAGCCGAGGAGGCGGGAGGGACUUGUGUUCCGGAAUAUUCAAAUUGUGUCAAAAGACAGAGCCACAGCUGGCUGGUGCAGACGAUGGCUACUUCAGAACCCAAAGAUGUCCCAGGUCAAAAAGAAAAGAAACACAAGACUUCCUGUUCGGUGGCUGUCUGCACUGUCAAGGUGAGGUCUACUGAGAGUGUCUCAGAGAUUCAGCAGCCGUGUGACCCAGGGAACACGAAGGAUUUCCUCUUAACUGAGUCAGCAUCCUGGAGGCCAAGGUCAAGGGUAAGUGUGUCUCUGGGACACUUGGAGCUGCAGGGAGCCGCCUGGGGCGUACCUCAUUUGUUGGCAGAUUUAGGUUUUGGGGGGUUACAGUGGCUUAGGGGAAUAGUGACUUCAAAAAGGCCCAGUGCCCCAGUAUGUCCUGCAGGGGGUCACUGAACCAGACACAGCUGCACAAAGCCAUUGUCGUCAGCCUGAGGGUGUAGACCACAGCACAGGGAAAGCAGGAGGCUGGGGCUGGAGUUGGUGUGGCCGCUCGGUCCCAGGACCACGAUUCCUUUUCCCAACCUGUUUUAGUGAAGGAGACUUGAAAGGUAAACUGAGGAGUCAAGACCCCAAGUUAGCCUAGCUGGCCUCUCCUCCUGGCAGGUAAGGCCAGGGGGCACCAACCAGGAGCCAAGCUUACCCUCGGGGGUUAGCACAGUCAGGACUGCCAGUGGGUUACCCUAGUGCAAUUGUUCUCACCCUUCCUAAUGCUGUGACCCUUUAAUACAGUUCAUGUUGAGGUGACCCCACAAUCAUAACAUUAUUUCGUUGUCACUUGUAAUUUGUAAUUGCCACUUUGCAAACUGUAAUUUUGCUGUCAUGAAUUGUAAACAUCUGACAUGCAGGACAUUUGGAAUGUAACCCCGUGAAAGGGUGGGUGGUUCAACCCACCGGCCUGCCCUAGUGUCUGCACCUAACGCGGAUUCAGAAGCCAACCCCAUUCACGCGGGAACAAGCCUGCAGCUAGCGGCCUCUAGUGGCCUGAUGGUCAAAUGACAGCCAGGGGCCACAUCCUCUAUCUGGCAACAGGGAUCCCCUCCAACACAGGCACACAAGAUAAGGGAACUAGGAAAGACAUGGCUCUGAACUAUGGUGCACUGGCAAGGA